This 465-nucleotide ribosomal RNA is filed under the name uncultured bacterium. RNAcentral's name for it is "partial 16S ribosomal RNA". It matches the Rfam family "Bacterial small subunit ribosomal RNA", at positions 338 to 795 of the family's 1533-position model. The record is from RNAcentral.
CCUACGGGUGGCAGCAGUAGGGAAUCUUCCACAAUGGGCGAAAGCCUGAUGGAGCAACGCCGCGUGGGUGAAGAAGGUCUUCGGAUCGUAAAACCCUGUUGUUAGAGAAGAAAGUGCGUGAGAGUAACUGUUCACGUUUCGACGGUAUCUAACCAGAAAGCCACGGCUAACUACGUGCCAGCAGCCGCGGUAAUACGUAGGUGGAAAGCGUUAUCCGGAUUUAUGGGGCGUAAAGGGAACGCAGGCGGUCUUUUAAGUCUGAUGUGAAAGGCUUCGGCUUAACCGGAGUAGUGCAUUGGAAACUGGGAGACUUGAGUGCAGAAGAGGAGAGUGGAACUCCAUGUGUAGCGGGGAAAUGCGUAGAUAUAUGGAAGAACACCAGUGGCGAAAGCGGCUCUCUGGUCUGUAACUGACGCUGAGGUUCGAAAGCGUGGGUAGCAAACAGGAUUAGAUACCCCGGUAGUC